GUGAAUGAUACAUCUCGGUCACUAAGCAAGCAUUGAGUAGAACUAGCAACUGUUUCUCCUCUGAAAAUCAAAGAAGAGAUUUCAGAUGGAAAGGGAUCACCGUGGUACACUUUUGGUACUGGAUCUAAGUGUCCUUGCCUUGGGUUCGUCAUUAGUGUUCAAAUACAAAGAAGCUUAUACUCCUUGUCUUUUCCCUUUCCCUUUCCCUUUUAUAUCUGUCGAUUUUAACUUGUUUCCUAGUCAUUUUGAACUUUUAUUUUAAGAAUUCUCUUUCCUCCUCCUCGUUCAUUUUUUUUCCCUAUUUUAUUUCGGAACUCUGUUUCUUGUAUUAGAGUUUGACACGUUGUGGAGGUUUGGAAGAUGGAUUUCAAAACUGGGUUAAGUCGGAAAUCCAUGUUUUUGGACAGUUAGUUCAUGGAUUUUAGUUUGGUUUUGAUUUGGAAUAUUUAAGUUUGGAUAUAAUGUGUCAAAAACUUUGGUGACUUUUAAAUUGCAGUAAUUCAUGUUGUUUGAGUUAAAAUUUCCAGCUUGGUGUAAAAGCAGACAACCAACUUAGCUUUUCACCUUAAACUUUUAUGUAUCAAUGAUCAAGUCACUGGAUGCAAUUGAUGGAAUAUUUUUUUCAAUGCAAUUGCAAAACGUUAGAUAUUAUGGGGUCGGGUAGAAGUUCCCACAACGUUCAGGCACUCCUAGCAUCAUUUCCCCUUUUGAAAUGUAUGCCAAAGGCGUUACUGUAGUAUGCAAGAACUACAUGCAUGCAACCUCAUCUAAUUUCAUUCCUCAAACAGGCUAUAAAAGUGGUUUGUCAUAUAUCUCUUCACAACGAGAUAGGAAAAAGCCUUACAGUUGUGCUUUGGUGUUUAUCUUUCAACUCAAAUAUUAUGGAAUGCUCUCACUGAAUGGCCAUCUGACAUGAGUUUGUUAUCAUAUGGGGAGAACUUUUUAGGAAGUACCAUAUGGUUUAGCACUUUCAAAUUUCAAUCUUGAGGGACAAAUUUUCGAUGGGUCUAAUAUCAAUGUCUUGUGUUGUCUUUGUUUUUGCAGGUAAAAGAGAUAAGUCGUGUGU
Molecule: unclassified non-coding RNA, 1066 nt
Filed under: Hevea brasiliensis (rubber tree)
Lineage: Eukaryota; Viridiplantae; Streptophyta; Magnoliopsida; Malpighiales; Euphorbiaceae
Source: RNAcentral